RNAcentral lists this ribosomal RNA (510 nucleotides) under uncultured Desulfobulbus sp. RNAcentral describes it as "bacterial SSU rRNA". It matches the Rfam family "Bacterial small subunit ribosomal RNA", at positions 903 to 1382 of the family's 1533-position model. The record is from RNAcentral. Lineage: Bacteria; Pseudomonadati; Thermodesulfobacteriota; Desulfobulbia; Desulfobulbales; Desulfobulbaceae.
CGCCUUGCCAGCCCGCUACAGAAACUUAAAUGAAUUGACGGGGCCCGCACAAGCGGUGGAGUAUGUGGUUAAUUCGAUGCAACGCGAAGAACCUUACCUGGUCUUGACAUCCCGGAGACCCUUAGGAAACUAGGGGGUGCUUCCAUCUGGAAGAAUCUGGAGACAGGUGCUGCAUGGCUGUCGUCAGCUCGUGUCGUGAGAUGUUGGGUUAAGUCCCGCAACGAGCGCAACCCUUGCCUUUAGUUGCCAGCAGUUCGGCUGGGCACUCUAAAGGGACUGCCGGUGUUAAACCGGAGGAAGGUGGGGAUGACGUCAAGUCCUCAUGGCCUUUAUGACCAGGGCUACACACGUACUACAAUGGCCGAUACAAAGGGCAGCGACACUGCGAGGUGAAGCCAAUCCCGUAAAAUCGGUCUCAGUCCGGAUUGGAGUCUGCAACUCGACUCCAUGAAGUUGGAAUCGCUAGUAAUCGUGGAUCAGCAUGCCACGGUGAAUACGUUCCCGGGCCUU